AAAUACUACCCAGUGACCGAUAGCGUAUAGUACUGUGAAGGAAAGGUGAAAAGCACCCCGGGAGGGGAGUGAAAAAGAACCUGAAACCCUGUGCCUACAAGCACCUAGAGCACGUCAAAGUGUGAUAGGGUACUUUUUGUAGAACGGUCCGGCGAGCGAUUGUAUGCAGCAAGGUUAAGGACUUAAGGUCUGGAGCCGAAGCGAAAGCGAGUUUGAAAAGGGCGUUAAGUUGCAUACAAUGGGCCCGAAACCGGGUGACCUACCCAUGGUCAGGUUGAAGUGGAAGUAAAAUUCCAUGGAGGACCGAACCGACCUCCGUUGAAAAGGCGGCGGAUGAACUGUGGGUAGCGGAGAAAUUCCAAUCGAACCCGGAGAUAGCUGGUUCUCCCCGAAAUAGUUUUAGGACUAGCCUCAACUUAGAUAUCUGGAGGUAAAGCACUGAAUAGCCUAGCGGCCGAGAGGUUAGCGAAGCUUAUCAAACUCAGAAUGCCAGAAUAUUGAUGGUUGGGAGUCAGACAGUGUCAGAUAAAUGUCAUUGUCAAAAGGGAAACAGCCCAGAUCUACAGCUAAGGUCCCAAAGUCAGGUUAAGUGGAAAACGAUGUGAAGAUACGCAGACAACCAGGAUGUUGGCUCAGAAGCAGCCACUCAUUCAAAGAGUGCGUAAUAGCUCACUGGUCGAGCGUCUUUGCGCGGAGAAUUUAACGGGGCUAAACCUGGCACCGAAGCUUAGGCAAUCCAGUAAUGGAUUGGGUAGGGGAGCGUUGUAUACGCGGCGAAACAGUAGCGCAAGCGGCUGUGGAGUGUAUAGAAGUGAGAAUGCCGGAAUGAGUAGCGCGAAUGCAGUGAGAAUCUGCAUGGCCGAAAGCCUCAGGUUUCUGGAGGAAGGUUCGUCCGCUCCAGGUUAGUCGGGAGCUAAGGUGAGGCCUAACGGCGUAGCCGAUGCACAGACGGUAGAGAUUCCGUCACCACCAAAAGAGUUAAACACAGGGACACAUUUGAAGUCUCGGAGCCGGGUGUUGGUUCCGGUAGCGAUCGAGGGAAGUUAGUACCGAAGUCUGAGAUGGAAGAUGGCGAGAAAAGCUGUGUGUAUUUCUGAGGUGCCCGUACCGCAAACCGACACAGGUAGGUAGGAAGAAGAUUCUAAGGCCAACGGGAGAAGGGUUGUUAAGGAACUCGGCAAAUUGACCCCGUAACUUCGGGAGAAGGGGUGCUCCAGAGAUGGAGCCGCAGAGAAUCGGCCCAAGCAACUGUUUACCAAAAACACAGGUUUGUGCUAAAUCGAAAGAUGACGUAUACGAGCUGACGCCUGCCCGGUGCUGGAAGGUUAAGAGGAGAUGUGCAAGCAUUGAAUCGAAGCCCCAGUGAACGGCGGCCGUAACUAUAACGGUCCUAAGGUAGCGAAAUUCCUUGUCAGGUAAGUUCUGACCCGCACGAAAGGCGUAAUGAUUUGGGCACUGUCUCAACAGCCCGCCCGGCGAAAUUGUAGUACCGGUGAAGAUGCCGGUUACCCGCGACAAGACGGAAAGACCCCAUGGAGCUUUACUGUAGCCUAAUAUUGGGUUUCGAUGUUGCAUGCACAGGAUAGAUGGGACACAGGGAAACAAUCGCUUUGGCGGUUGCGGAGUGGCCGUUGGGAUACCAUCCUUGCGAUAUUGGAAUUCUAACCUGCGGCUCUGAAUCGAGUCGGGGGACAUUGUUAGGUGGGCAGUUUGACUGGGGCGGUCGCCUCCUAAAGAGUAACGGAGGCGUUCAAAGGUUCGCUCAGCUUGAACGGAAAUCAAGCAAAAGAGUGCAAACGCAGAAGCGAGCCUAACUGCGAGACUGACGGGUCGAGCAGUAACGAAAGUUGGAGUUAGUGAUCCGGUGGUAUGUGAGUGGAAAUGCCAUCGCUCAACGGAUAAAAGCUACCCUGGGGAUAACAGGCUGAUCUCCCCCAAGAGUCCACAUCGACGGGGAGGUUUGGCACCUCGAUGUCGGCUCAUCGCAUCCUGGAGCUGAAGUCGGUUCCAAGGGUUGGGCUGUUCGCCCAUUAAAGCGGUACGCGAGCUGGGUUCAGAACGUCGUGAGACAGUUCGGUCCCUAUCUGUCGUGGGCGCAGGAUAUUUGAUGGGAGCUGUCCCUAGUACGAGAGGACCGGGACGGACGUACCUCUGGCGCACCAGUUGUUCCGCCAGGAGCAUAGCUGGGCAACUACGUACGGAUCGGAUAAACGCUGAAAGCAUCUAAGCGUGAAGCCGACCCAAAGAUAAGAUAUCCCAUUGU
This 2263-nucleotide ribosomal RNA is filed under the name human gut metagenome. RNAcentral's name for it is "bacterial LSU rRNA". It matches the Rfam family "Bacterial large subunit ribosomal RNA", at positions 468 to 2820 of the family's 2925-position model. The record is from RNAcentral.